RNAcentral lists this ribosomal RNA (418 nucleotides) under uncultured eukaryote. Its description in RNAcentral is "partial small subunit ribosomal RNA". It matches the Rfam family "Eukaryotic small subunit ribosomal RNA", at positions 587 to 972 of the family's 1831-position model. The record is from RNAcentral.
AGCUCCAAUAGCGUAUAUUAAAGUUGUUGCAGUUAAAAAGCUCGUAGUUGAACUUCUGGUAGAGUUAACCUGACUUGAGCUUUGCUCUAGAUCGUGCGUUAACUUGGCCAUCUUGACUUUUUUCGGAAAGUCUCGUUUACUGUAAAAAAAUUAGAGUGUUCAAAGCAAAAAGUAUUUUUGAAUAUAUUAGUAUGGAAUAAUAAGAUAAGGCUUCUGUGUUAUUUUGUUGGUUUGCCACAGAUGCAAUGAUUAAAAGGGACAGUUGGGGGUAUUCGUAUUCCGAUGUCAGAGGUGAAAUUCUUGGUAAGUUUUUGAGUUGUUUUUAGGAAUCAAGAGUUCGUAACCCUAACCUAAAAUCGAUGAAACAGGAUUUUCGAAAGACGAACAACUGCGAAGGCAUUUACCAAGGAUGUUUUCA